Molecule: long non-coding RNA, 3849 nt
Organism: Oncorhynchus kisutch (coho salmon)
Lineage: Eukaryota; Metazoa; Chordata; Actinopteri; Salmoniformes; Salmonidae
Exons: 3
Source: RefSeq, a predicted model, not a curated record
GAUGACUAGUGCUUUACCCAUUUCAUUACAUCUUUAUAUAUUGCAAAUAAAAUGUAAAAACAAUCACAAAUAAUAUUUUAUAUUAAUUUCAAACAACGGCAUUAGCAUGAGAGCAACUUACCAGUCCAAAACAAUGUCCUCUCCGUUCAAAAAAUGCCUGUUUCAGAGUCUUCAAAAUGGAGUCUUCAAAAAGCAGAUCUGUCUCACUUUCACGAUGAAUUUCCUCUAAAAUUGUUUCUACAUUCGUAUAUCUAGUCUUAGAAUUAGCUUUCAUUGACUUAUUUGCCAUGAUGUUGGAUAAAUAAACAGCUGAAGAUGCAAGUCACCGAAAUACUGCUGUGCGUAAUAAGCUUUGCACCUUCACGGUUGAAUUGGCAAUGGCGAAAGAACGGUCCUUAUGCCAGUGUUCAAUGGAAAGAUUUGUCUUACAACAAAGAAUCAUGGGAUAUUGCCGUUUACCUCUGCUCAUUGGCUAUCUACCCAGCUAGAUUUCAAGACGAUCAGUGGUCAUUGGGUUAAAAGACAGUCAAUCAACGAGACAGUGGUCAUAUAAUUGGUGCACAAUGGGCUUGUCACUUGUUGUCUUCCAAUCGGUUUUUCCGGGUCAAUACGUUCCGCAAAAUGACCCAUCAGGUUUGGUUGUGUUACAAAUAAACGUUGAUUGCAAGGUAACCAAACAUGACUGGAUAAAGGCAGGGAAAGUCUGUCUAUUUUACGUUGGAUGUUACGUCGAAAAUUGAAUGACAUGAAAUUGAAUGACACGAAAUUCAACAAGAUAAGCGUUCAUAAGCGUUCAUUAUAAUGUUGCCAUGAACGUCUUGCGAAGCAGGGUUACCUUAUGUUCCUACCAACUGUUCCCUGACCUGGUUGUUAUUGAAAGAGCCAUUAUAAAGAAAGACAAGAAUUGCUUCUUGGAAUUCCUUCUGGAUAAACAAAGGUUAUUUUAAUCCCCCAGUCCUUCGCAGUUUCACUCAAAGCUGGCACUGUGAGGCUUAUGGCUUCCCACAUGGCACCCUAUUCCUUGUGUCCCUACCAUAGGUCCCUGGUCAAAAGUAGUGCACUUCAUAGGGAUUAGGGUGCCAUUUGGGACAUAACCUAUGGGCUGAGUCGUCCAUUAAGCUAACUAACUAACACACAUUCACAGGCUCCCUGCUUUCCUCUGUACUUUAAUGUGGCAGGUAAUUGCCAGCUCCAUAAUGACCAUCUUACAGGCUGGGCCUGGAAAGGUUGCCUGCUGACUGGCUUUUGAUACACUGCAUUAAUGAAGUUUAUGACUCUUGAGCCCUGGGGAUCUGUCAAGCUCCCUUGUGCCAGGAAGAUAACUUUGAUUAGGUGUUAAAGUGACCUCGCUUUACCUGUAUGAUGAGAAUGUAUUGUAUACCAGAAAGCGCCUCUGCGCUAGAAGUGUCAGGGAAGGGGCAGCUGGGAAAUGCUUUUGCAGAAAUUUGAGCUUUGAAGAGUGGUUUUGUCAAAGACCUGUUAGCAGUAAUGAUCGAUUUUUUAUUUUUUUUUUGUUCUUCUCCACUGCGUUUUCUGUCUCUUUACUUUACUGGUGCGUAAUCUGUCUCAUCCGCCAUCUUUUUAGAGUACCCACUUUAGUACUCAGAUAAUUAAAACGUUUGUCAUUACAGAGCAACUGCCCCUAUAAAUCAACUAAUCCCUUUUGAAAAUGGCCUAUGUAGCAUCAAUAUGAGUCCGAAACAUUUAUUUUAGUUUUAGAAUUGACUACAAAGUGUAAUUAGGAUAAUUUGAGUAAUAAAGUCAGUCUUGUCUAAAAUGGAGUUUGGAACCUUAGUGUGUCACAUCGAGUAAAUUUAAGGUUGGGUUUGGAUUACAAUGUUAACAAAUCAUGACCUCUUUUGCCAAACUCCACAUGCAAAUCGCCCCUCAGCCCGCUUCGUUCUGUUCAUUAAGUGGGGCUCCGUUGUUUCAUCGCCCCCAAUACUUUCAAAGGAUCGCUGCCAUUUUAAACUGAAUAGCCCUGUACGGAUUGACCAUGCUUCCAGCAGGAUGCACAGCCAACUGGUUUGCAUGCCCUGCCGAUGGAACCUAAUCAUGCGGAAGUUGGUUGGAGUUCGUUUGUCCCCAGUGGUGGUGAGUAUACAGGUAGCUAGAUCAUGAAUUGCUGGUUGUGCAUCUGUAGAUUUUGAUAAUCAUUGUCAGCUAUGCAAGUGAUGAUAGUGACGAGUGAUGUUAGCCAGCUAGGUAACUAUCUAGAUCGUUAGCCUAGCGUUAGCCUAACUCGGUAGGUAACUAACUUUUGCUUUGAAACACAAAAAUAUUACAAAACAAGAACCUUUUUUUAAUGAUUGUGAUGUCGCCAGAUUGACUUUAGAUGCAGUAUAACUUUAGCCAGCUAACUUAAGUUUGAGGGGACCACCGUAUUUGACCUAUUUUUAGCAUUGCUAGCUAUUUUUUACAAACUUGCUAGUAACAGUAAUGGCAACAUUGCCAUCUCUAUAAUGAAUUUGACUACAUCAUAAUAUGGCAGUUUCCUAUUAAUUAUAUGUUAUCCUAUUUCCAUGCCACUAAGGGCUCUAUUCAAUCCGUAUCUUGGAAGUUAAGCUUUACAGCGUGAUUUAAAUUAGAAAGCAACGUUUCCGCUCUAGCUGAGACUGCGUUCACGGUAAACGCUUCUCAAUUCAGAAAUGACCUUUUACAUUUAUAUCGUGGAAAAUGUAAUGCUUCAUCUUUACAGAUUGAAUAGAGCCCUACAUUUUUGUGUAUUAAUACGAAAGUCACAUUAGCCUCUGAGGUGCAACCCCAUAUCCAGGGAACAAAUACAUAUUGGAUGCAGCUAUGGUGGUACUAGCUAACUCGUGUCUGACUACAACAAUGUACUAACUAGCAGCAACAAACUCAAGCCAUCCCAGGGCCAUAGCAAAACUUGUCAUAGCUUGUUUCAUAGUAUAAUGGCGUAACCGGCCUGAAUCUAAUUCAAUCUCGAGCCAGUCAGCCUACAUCUGUUAAGCAUAGAUUUAGCAUCCAAACAAGGUUACGUUAUUUCUCAAACUAUGUCUAUAAUUGAGGGUUGAUGACAGUCGUUGACCCUGUUUUUCUGUUAGACAAAGUGCAUAGUUGGGUGCCAGACUGAUCCCCUGGUCAUGAACGGAUGCCGGGACCUACCAGAAGAAGCCACGCUUGUCAGGCAAGACCUCCGACUAAGUGUCAUGCGACACAAUUACCCUUGUGACACCACCUCCGUUGUUGCCAGACUCUCCCUCGACUCCUGAAAAGGACACGCCAUCAUGAGGCCUUUGAUAGUGCCCCGAGUUACUGCCAUGAUGACAAACGGCUUCGACUACGACAGGUCCUCACAGUCAACACCACCCCAUAAGAUUGCCUGCUGCAGUUGUUUGAGAGAUGUCCAGUUUACAGCAAAACAUGCACCACAGAGAAGACCAGAAAGGGGAACCUCUUCAGCAUCAUCCAAACAUGCCCUCACCUGCAUUCUAUUUCACUUCACAUUUUAUCAUAUCUGAAGUGAAAUAGGAAGGUGAAUGCAAUGACCAGGUUGGUUCCACCAGGCUAAUCAUAACCACCAUUGAUAAUGUAAUCAGUGGUGUGUGUCUGACCGAGCAGUAUCUUCGAUGAGCCAGGAGCAGAUCUAUGCUACUUUGCCCAUCAAUUUGGCCUCUGUCAAAGACCUCACCUCCAGCCUCACCUCUUGCCUGCUCGCCUCCAGGUUGUCGAUAGGGAGAACAUAAUUAGGUAGGUUUAGUCGGACCUGUUCAAAAUUCAACAUAGGAUGCAGUGUCUUCGGAAAGUAUUCGGACCCCAUGACUCUUAUUCUGAAAUUGAUUAUAUAAAAAUAAUGCCUCAGCAAUCUACACACAAUACCCCAUAAUG